RNAcentral lists this ribosomal RNA (329 nucleotides) under uncultured eukaryote. RNAcentral's name for it is "partial 18S ribosomal RNA". It matches the Rfam family "Eukaryotic small subunit ribosomal RNA", at positions 1470 to 1796 of the family's 1831-position model. The record is from RNAcentral.
CCCUUAGAUGUCCUGGGCCGCACGCGCGCUACACUGAGUGUCUGAGAUACGAGUCUGCCUGGUCCGGCAAGGUCUAGGUAAUCGCUAAAAGACACAUCAUGCUUGGGAUAGAUUAUUGCAAAUAUUAAUCUUGAACGAGGAAUUCCUAGUAAGCGCAAGUCAACAGCUUGCGUUGAUUACGUCCCUGCCCUUUGUACACACCGCCCGUCGCUACUACUGUUUGGAUGUUUAAGCGAGGUUCUCGAACUGCUAGCGACUUAGCUUCGGUGAGGUCGCAGUGUGGGAAGUGAACCGAGCUUUGGUGUCUAGAGGAAGUAAAAGUCGUAACA